AUCCAACUGACAAGUCCCGAAUAGGACGAAACUAGUGUUCUGGAU
Non-coding RNA from Schistosoma rodhaini, 45 nucleotides. The record is from Rfam. NCBI's taxonomy places the organism in Eukaryota, Metazoa, Platyhelminthes, Trematoda, Strigeidida, Schistosomatidae.